This 250-nucleotide unclassified non-coding RNA is filed under the name plant metagenome. RNAcentral describes it as "partial contains small subunit ribosomal RNA, internal transcribed spacer 1, and 5.8S ribosomal RNA". The stretch from base 195 to 250 matches the Rfam family "5.8S ribosomal RNA", at positions 1 to 56 of the family's 154-position model. The record is from RNAcentral.
GUAGGUGAACCUGCGGAAGGAUCAUUAACACGUUCUUAACAAACGUUUUAAAACCCCAAAAUUAAUCUGUGAACUUGAACUUUUCCCCUCCCUAAAUUUGUUUUUAUUAACAAACCCCUUUUUUUAAUUCUUAUGAACUGAAAAAACAAAAUCGGAAAAGUAUUUAUAUUUUUCUAUUUAAAAAAAUGCUGAACAACUCUUAACAACGGAUAUCUUGGUUCUCGCAUCGAUGAAGAACGCAGCAUCUGAC